RNAcentral lists this ribosomal RNA (1743 nucleotides) under Fusarium graminearum. Its description in RNAcentral is "12S ribosomal RNA". It matches the Rfam family "Bacterial small subunit ribosomal RNA". Lineage: Eukaryota; Fungi; Ascomycota; Sordariomycetes; Hypocreales; Nectriaceae. The record is from RNAcentral.
UAAAAGUUGAGUUUGGUGAUGGCUCUGAUUGAAUGCUGUCCAAGUGCUUGACACAUGCUAAUCGUACGUUUUAAUUGAUAAAUUAAAAAGUGGUGUACAGGUGAGUAUAAUGAUAUUCUUCGCCGGCCUUAAAGUGGAGGUAAAUCCUUCAUAAUAAAUAAAGGAAACAUAUAAUAAAAAAAAAUUAGGGUAUAGACAAGGACAAGUGUUGAGGGGGGGAAACCCUCAGCAAGUUGACUCCCUUAUAUAUUUUUUUUUGCUCUUUUUUUUCUGCUUUAAGAGGAUAAUAAAUAUCUUCGAGAUAGGUAGUAGUUAAGGUGAUGACUUAACUAGCCUUAAACUCUCGUAGUCGAAUCUGAAAGGUUGAUCGACCACAUUGGGUCUGAAAAAACCCCAAUGCAAGUUAGUACAGCAGUGAGGAAUCUUGGUCAAUGGCCUAACGGCUGAACUGGCAACUUGGAGAAGUGGCAAGUCUUCCAGUAUGGGGAGCAAACAGCUAUGGGUCAAGCCCGAUACCUUUAAGAGAAGUCUUAUUGUGAGGGCGAGUUGUAUAACACCAUAGGGCUGGCCGUCCCAUAUGAAAAGAUUUUAUUAGAAUUGAAUGAAACUUUGUUUAUAUAUUGAUAAUGACAGUAUAUAUAUCGUGUCUUGACUAAUUGCGUGCCAGCAGUCGCGGUAAUACGUAAGAGACUAGUGUUAUUCAUCUUAAUUAGGUUUAAAGGGUACCCAGACGGUCUAUAUAGCUUAUAAAAUGUUAGUAUAAGACUAGAGUUUUAUGUAAGAGGGCAGUACUUGAGGAGGAGAGAUGAAAUUUCGUGAUACCAAAGGGACUCUGUAAAGGCGAAGGCAGCCCUCUAUGUAAAAACUGACGUUGAAGGACGAAGGCACAGAGAACAAACAGGAUUAGAUACCCAAGUAGUCUUUGCAGUAAAUGAUGAAUGCCAUAGGUUAGAUCUAUAUUUCUAUUAUAAUAAUACAUUUCUAUUAUUUAUUAUAAAACGCAUUCCUUAUAUAGCUUCGCGCUAUAAUAUAUUUUAUAUAUAGUGCAGCAGAAAUUUUUGUAUCUGGUCUAUAAAUGAAAGUGUAAGCAUUUCACCUCAAGAGUAAUGUGGCAACGCAGGAACUGAAAUCACUAGACCGUUUCUGACACCAGUAGUGAAGUAUGUUGUUUAAUUCGAUGAUCCACGAAAAACCUUACCACAAUUUGAAUAAUUUUAUUACAGGAGUUGCACGGCUGUUUCCAGUUAAUGUUGUGAAACUGUGGUUUCCAUGAAAUUAACGUAAUCCCUGGCUUUAUUUUUUUUUAUUUACGAUAAAGCAUUCAGUCCUGGAAAUUUGGAAAGAAAAAGGGGACAAAGACAAGUCAUCAUGGCCUUGAUAUUGUGGGCUAUAGACGUGCCACAUAUACCUAAACAAAGAGAUGCGAAAAUGUGAAUUUAAGCUAAUCUCAAAAAAUAGGAUAUAAAUUUUAAGGAUUGUAGUCUGAAAUUCGACUAUAUGAAUAAGUAAUUACUAGUAAUCGUGAAUCACCAUGUCACGGUGAAUAGACCUUGGAUUGGUACUAACCACUCGUCACAUGCUGAAAGGGGCAUGCGCAAUAAGUUUGCUUUCUUAGUAACAAGUAAAAAAAACAAAUAGGUUUUAUAUAUUCUUUUAUUGGGAAUCUUCGUAUGCGUGGCUCUAAUUAGUGUUAAGUCGAAAUACGGUUCGGGUAGUGGAAGUUGCCCGGGAUUAAUUAAUAUU